ACCCUAUGAAAGCGCUUAUAUAUGGUGAAAUAAAGGAAGGGAUAAUGCUUUGUUUGACUCCAUUGCAGACAUGCCAACAGAGUACAGUCCUCACUGAUUGGAUUGGAUCCUGUAUCUGGUUCAGCCCAAUAAGAAAAAAUUAUGUCUCUCUCAAAGGGCAAAACAUAGUAAACGUGAGCAUCUUGUAAAAUGUUUUCCAAGGCCCCCCCACAACAAAUGACUGCAUGAAGAACAAUAAGCAUGUGCAGAUUUGGUAUGACAUUUAGAUAUCCCACUGCUCACUGGUCAGUGCAGCAGUCCCUAUUAAAGUUUGCAUCAGCAAUUCAACCCAAACCAGUCCAAACACCCACCAAUUAAGAUUCUGCUUUUCAAUUAGACAAGGAACCCAAGAUUCCAAUUCAACCCACUUCUCCUUGUUGCUUUCCUUGGUCAAGCUCAAGAAUUGACACCAUAUUGUUUCAUCAUGUCACGCACUUUCUCUGUUUUUUUUUUUUUUGGUAACUCUUGUUGUCUCGCACUUUCUCUUUAUUGGUCCUUUUCAUGACAACCUGUUUUCUGUUGCCAUAACAAUGGGCCUUUGUAUUUCUUGCUUAGCCCAAGUUUGCUAAAUCUGGUUUUUCUGGGUCAAUUUUAGCCCAAAUCAUAAAGAAUAAGACAUUAUAAGCUUCUUCUUGCUGUUGGGCUAUGAAUUUAAUUCUUUGUUCUUGGUUGAGCCUGGCUUAUGUAUACUUCACAUGGAAACCUACAAUUAAAACAAGUAUAAAUUAUAAACUCCAUACGUAUAAUCAUGGUUAAUUUUUUACUUUAUAUUUAUGGAAUUAUAGUUAUGCAUAUGGACACAUGUUAAGUGUUGAGAAUAAUGAUAAGAAUACACCUUGGGUUAAAGUGGUG
RNAcentral lists this long non-coding RNA (891 nucleotides) under Prunus persica (peach). RNAcentral describes it as "long non-coding RNA (PPER_LNC005407)". Lineage: Eukaryota; Viridiplantae; Streptophyta; Magnoliopsida; Rosales; Rosaceae. The record is from RNAcentral.